UACGUAGGGGGCUAGCGUUGUUCGGAAUUACUGGGCGUAAAGGGCGCGUAGGCGGCUCUGCCAGUUGCGUGUGAAAGCCCCGGGCUCAACCUGGGAAUGGCGCGCAAGACGGCGGGGCUGGAGUUCGGGAGAGGAGCGUGGAAUUCCCAGUGUAGAGGUGAAAUUCGUAGAUAUUGGGAAGAACACCGGUGGCGAAGGCGGCGCUCUGGACCGAGACUGACGCUGAGGCGCGAAAGCGUGGGGAGCAAACAGG
This 253-nucleotide ribosomal RNA is filed under the name uncultured bacterium. RNAcentral's name for it is "partial 16S ribosomal RNA". It matches the Rfam family "Bacterial small subunit ribosomal RNA", at positions 524 to 776 of the family's 1533-position model. The record is from RNAcentral.